GCAAAGCAGAGUCCUGAUUGGACUCAGGGGCAGGGCGGGCGCCCUGUCUCUGGCCCCGUUUCGCCUCCGCUUCGGUCUCGUGGCUUCUGGAGUCUUCUAGAUGUAAGAUAAUUGCGCAGCACGUUAAUAUCUUUACGUAAUCCCGACAUGUGGGCCUUUCUUUCAUAUUUCCUGAUAACCCCCUGCAGAAAUAGACAAACACCAAAACUCGUGGAAUUCUGUCAGAUAAAACCCUAUGUCUAGAUCUUGAUUUCAUUUAGAUCCUUUUCUUUAUUUAUUUGAUAAUUAAAUUUGAUACUUA
RNAcentral lists this long non-coding RNA (301 nucleotides) under Sorghum bicolor (sorghum). Its description in RNAcentral is "long non-coding RNA (SBIC_LNC017215)". Lineage: Eukaryota; Viridiplantae; Streptophyta; Magnoliopsida; Poales; Poaceae. The record is from RNAcentral.